CUACUAUAUUUGUUGCAUGGAAUGAUUGUAAGGUGUACAUGUCUAGCGGGCAGAUGUCAUCUGACCUUGACCUCAUUUUCAUGGUUCAGUGGUCAAAGUUAAGUUUUUAAGUUUUGAUCUUUUUAUCUAAUAUUAUAUGCCAAAGGUCAACUAUAUUUGGUGUAUGGAAAUAUAUUAUGAUCUAUAUGUCAGUCCCGCAGGUUUUAUUUGACCAUGACCUCAAUUGCACGGUUCAUUGGACAGUGUUAAGUUUUUGUGUUUUGGUCUAUUUUUCUUAAACUAUAAGUAAUAG
Molecule: long non-coding RNA, 292 nt
Filed under: Mytilus galloprovincialis (Mediterranean mussel)
Lineage: Eukaryota; Metazoa; Mollusca; Bivalvia; Mytilida; Mytilidae
Source: RNAcentral